GGAUUGCCCUAGUAACGGCGAGUGAAGCGGCAACAGCUCAAAUUUGAAAUCUGGCCUCGCGGCCCGAGUUGUAAUUUGCAGAGGAUGCUUCUGGCGCGGUGCCUUCCGAGUUCCCUGGAACGGGACGCCACAGAGGGUGAGAGCCCCGUAUGGUAGGACACCAAGCCUGUGUGAAGCUCCUUCGACGAGUCGAGUAGUUUGGGAAUGCUGCUCAAAAUGGGAGGUAAAUCUCUUCUAAAGCUAAAUACCGGCCAGAGACCGAUAGCGCACAAGUAGAGUGAUCGAAAGAUGAAAAGCACCUUGAAAAGGGGGUUAAACAGUACGUGAAAUUGUUGAAAGGGAAGCGCUUGUGACCAGACUUGCGCCGGGCGGCUCAUCCGGGGUUCUCCCCGGUGCACUCCGCCCGGCUCAGGCCAGCAUCGGUUCUCGUUGGGGGAUAAGAACGGCAGGAACGUGGCCCUCCCUCGGGGGGGUGUUAUAGCCUGCCGUACGAUACCCUGACGGGGACCGAGGUUCUCGCUCCGCGCAAGGAUGCUGGCGUAAUGGUCAUCAGCGACCCGUCUUGAAACACGGACCAAGGAGUCGUCCAUUAGAGCGAGCGUUUGGGUGUAAAACCCGCACGCGUAAUGAAAGUGAAAUUAGGUGAGAGCUUCGGCGCAUCAUCGACCGAUCCUGAUGUUCUCGGAUGGAUUUGAGUAAGAGUUUUAACGGACGGACCCGAAAGACAGUGAACUAUGCUUGUAUAGGGUGAAGCCAGAGGAAACUCUGGUGGAGGCUCGCAGCGGUUCUGACGUGCAAAUCGAUCGUCAAAUAUGAGCAUGGGGGCGAAAGACUAAUCGAAC
The sequence is a ribosomal RNA, 842 nucleotides long. It matches the Rfam family "Eukaryotic large subunit ribosomal RNA", at positions 72 to 940 of the family's 3401-position model.